CAGCCAUGCCGCGUGUAUGAAGAAGGCCUUCGGGUUGUAAAGUACUUUCAGUGGUGAGGAAGGGAGUGUGGUUAAUAGCCAUAUUCUUUGACGUUAGCCACAGAAGAAGCACCGGCUAACUCCGUGUCACAAGCCGCGGUAAUACGGAGGGUGCGAGCGUUAAUCGGAAUUACUGGGCGUAAAGCGCAUGCAGGUGGUUUGUUAAGUCAGAUGUGAAAGCCCGGGGCUCAACCUCGGAGUUGCAUUUGAAACUGGCAGGCUAGAGUACUGUAGAGGGGGGUAGAAUUUCAGGUGUAGCGGUGAAAUGCGUAGAGAUCUGAAGGAAUACCGGUGGCGAAGGCGGCCCCCUGGACAGAUACUGACACUCAGAUGCGAAAGCGUGGGGAGCAAACAGGAUUAGAUACCCUGGUAGUCCACGCCGUAAACGAUGUCUACUUGGAGGUUGCGGUCUUGAACUGUGGCUUUCGGAGCUAACGCGUUAAGUAGACCGCC
This 492-nucleotide ribosomal RNA is filed under the name gamma proteobacterium I-14. Its description in RNAcentral is "bacterial SSU rRNA". It matches the Rfam family "Bacterial small subunit ribosomal RNA", at positions 389 to 873 of the family's 1533-position model. The record is from RNAcentral. Lineage: Bacteria; Pseudomonadati; Pseudomonadota; Gammaproteobacteria.